This 651-nucleotide ribosomal RNA is filed under the name uncultured bacterium. RNAcentral describes it as "bacterial SSU rRNA". It matches the Rfam family "Bacterial small subunit ribosomal RNA", at positions 138 to 807 of the family's 1533-position model. The record is from RNAcentral.
GGGGGAUAACAGUUAGAAAUGACUGCUAAUACCGCAUAAGCGCACAGGACCGCAUGGUCCGGUGUGAAAAACUCCGGUGGUAUGAGAUGGACCCGCGUCUGAUUAGUUAGUUGGCGGGGUAGCGGCCCACCAAGACGACGAUCAGUAGCCGACCUGAGAGGGUGACCGGCCACAUUGGGACUGAGACACGGCCCAAACUCCUACGGGAGGCAGCAGUGGGGAAUAUUGCACAAUGGGGGAAACCCUGAUGCAGCGACGCCGCGUGAGUGAAGAAGUAUUUCGGUAUGUAAAGCUCUAUCAGCAGGGAAGAAGUUGACGGUACCUGAGUAAGAAGCCCCGGCUAACUACGUGCCAGCAGCCGCGGUAAUACGUAGGGGGCAAGUGUUAUCCGGAUUUACUGGGUGUAAAGGGAGCGUAGACGGCAGUGCAAGUCUGAAGUGAAAGCCCCGGGCUUAACCCGGGAACUGCUUUGGAAACUGUACGGCUGGAGUGCUGGAGAGGUAAGCGGAAUUCCUAGUGUAGCGGUGAAAUGCGUAGAUAUUAGGAGGAACACCAGUGGCGAAGGCGGCUUACUGGACAGUAACUGACGUUGAGGCUCGAAAGCGUGGGGAGCAAACAGGAUUAGAUACCCUGGUAGUCCACGCCGUAAAC